GGUGCUGAGCGGUACUCGCGGGACGUGGAGAUGAUGAUCGGAAGGAGUGUACCAGGAUACAUAAAAUUUUGUUGGACUUUCCUCUCUCCUCUGCUCUUGUUUGGAUUGCUUGUCACGUGCCUUGUGUCUUACGUCCCGCCUACAUACGGGGAUUACGUAUACCCGGGCUGGGCCGCUGUCGCUGGCUGGAUGGCUUCGCUCUUACCUAUUGUUCUCGUCAUCCUUAUAAGUAUCAGAACCGUGUUUUACACACCCGGGAAAACGCUCUAUCAGAAAUUACGUCACUCGAUCAUACCCGAAUGAAGACUGGCACCCGGCCAAUGAUAAAGCCAACUAUCUAGCUCUUCCCUGGGAAAGUAGAGGAACUUUAACACAGAAACUUCUCGUUAACCUUGGCCUCAGGAAACACACCGUAUAAGGAGUUUUGAUAAUAACGUUUAUGAUGAAAAAAAUAUAUUUACAUUAGAAUUUUGUUUAUAAUCACAUUAUUUAGAUUUGUAAGAAAUAUAUUGAUAAUAAUAAUAAUAAUAUAUAAGUACAUUGUAACAAAGUUAGCUUUUUCUGUUAAGACUUGAAGUCUACAGGCUCUAAGACUGAGCUCAACAGUAAGAGUAUUGUAGAAUUUCACGGAAGUUGUUUGCAUUGUAGAGUUGGUUUAUAAAUUAUUAAACAAGUGUACGU
Pecten maximus is the source of this 681-nucleotide long non-coding RNA. RefSeq lists it as uncharacterized. The transcript is spliced from 3 exons. The record is from RefSeq and is a predicted model, not a curated record. Lineage: Eukaryota; Metazoa; Mollusca; Bivalvia; Pectinida; Pectinidae.